CAGUCGCCGCGGUAAUGCGAAGGGGGCUAGCGUUGCUCGGAAUUACUGGGCGUAAAGGGAGCGUAGGCGGAUCGUUUAGUCAGGGGUGAAAUCCCGGGGCUCAACCUCGGGACUGCCUUUGAUACUGGCGAUCUUGAGUAUGGGAGAGGUGUGUGGAACUCCGAGUGUAGAGGUGAAAUUCGUAGAUAUUUGGAAGAACACCAGUGGCGAAGGCGACACACUGGCCCAUUACUGACGCUGAGGCUCGAAAGCGUGGGGAGCAAACAGGAUUAGAUACCCCCGUAGUCCCUGUCUCUUAUAC
RNAcentral lists this ribosomal RNA (301 nucleotides) under uncultured bacterium. Its description in RNAcentral is "partial 16S ribosomal RNA". It matches the Rfam family "Bacterial small subunit ribosomal RNA", at positions 509 to 807 of the family's 1533-position model. The record is from RNAcentral.